This 2777-nucleotide ribosomal RNA is filed under the name Pseudomonas syringae. RNAcentral's name for it is "bacterial LSU rRNA". It matches the Rfam family "Bacterial large subunit ribosomal RNA". The record is from RNAcentral. Lineage: Bacteria; Pseudomonadati; Pseudomonadota; Gammaproteobacteria; Pseudomonadales; Pseudomonadaceae. RNAcentral also lists the same sequence under 1 other name.
AGCGCAUACGGUGGAUGCCUUGGCAGUCAGAGGCGAUGAAAGACGUGGUAGCCUGCGAAAAGCUUCGGGGAGUCGGCAAACAGACUGUGAUCCGGAGAUGUCUGAAUGGGGGAACCCAGCCAUCAUAAGAUGGUUAUCUUGUACUGAAUACAUAGGUGCAAGAGGCGAACCAGGGGAACUGAAACAUCUAAGUACCCUGAGGAAAAGAAAUCAACCGAGAUUCCCUUAGUAGUGGCGAGCGAACGGGGACCAGCCCUUAAGUUGUAUUGAGAUUAGCGGAACGUUCUGGAAAGGACGGCCAUAGUGGGUGAUAGCCCUGUACGCGAAAAUCCCUUUGCAAUGAAAUCGAGUAGGACGGGGCACGAGAAACCUUGUCUGAAUAUGGGGGGACCAUCCUCCAAGGCUAAAUACUACUGACUGACCGAUAGUGAACCAGUACCGUGAGGGAAAGGCGAAAAGAACCGCGGAGAGCGGAGUGAAAUAGAUCCUGAAACCGUAUGCGUACAAGCAGUGGGAGCCCACUUUGUUGGGUGACUGCGUACCUUUUGUAUAAUGGGUCAGCGACUUAUUUUCAGUGGCGAGCUUAACCGAAUAGGGGAGGCGUAGCGAAAGCGAGUCUUAAUAGGGCGUCUAGUCGCUGGGAAUAGACCCGAAACCGGGCGAUCUAUCCAUGGGCAGGUUGAAGGUUGGGUAACACUAACUGGAGGACCGAACCGACUACCGUUGAAAAGUUAGCGGAUGACCUGUGGAUCGGAGUGAAAGGCUAAUCAAGCUCGGAGAUAGCUGGUUCUCCUCGAAAGCUAUUUAGGUAGCGCCUCAUGUAUCACUGUAGGGGGUAGAGCACUGUUUCGGCUAGGGGGUCAUCCCGACUUACCAAACCGAUGCAAACUCCGAAUACCUACAAGUGCCGAGCAUGGGAGACACACGGCGGGUGCUAACGUCCGUCGUGAAAAGGGAAACAACCCAGACCGUCAGCUAAGGUCCCAAAGUCAUGGUUAAGUGGGAAACGAUGUGGGAAGGCUUAGACAGCUAGGAGGUUGGCUUAGAAGCAGCCACCCUUUAAAGAAAGCGUAAUAGCUCACUAGUCGAGUCGGCCUGCGCGGAAGAUGUAACGGGGCUCAAACCAUGCACCGAAGCUACGGGUAUCAUCUUUUGAUGAUGCGGUAGAGGAGCGUUCUGUAAGCCUGUGAAGGUGAGUUGAGAAGCUUGCUGGAGGUAUCAGAAGUGCGAAUGCUGACAUGAGUAACGACAAUGGGUGUGAAAAACACCCACGCCGAAAGACCAAGGUUUCCUGCGCAACGUUAAUCGACGCAGGGUUAGUCGGUCCCUAAGGCGAGGCUGAAAAGCGUAGUCGAUGGAAAACAGGUUAAUAUUCCUGUACUUCUGGUUAUUGCGAUGGAGGGACGGAGAAGGCUAGGCCAGCCUGGCGUUGGUAGUCCAGGUUUAAGGUGGUAGGCUGAGAUCUUAGGUAAAUCCGGGAUCUUAAGGCCGAGAGCUGAUGACGAGUGUUCUUUUAGAACACGAAGUGGUUGAUGCCAUGCUUCCAAGAAAAGCUUCUAAGCUUCAGGUAACCAGGAACCGUACCCCAAACCGACACAGGUGGUUGGGUAGAGAAUACCAAGGCGCUUGAGAGAACUCGGGUGAAGGAACUAGGCAAAAUGGCACCGUAACUUCGGGAGAAGGUGCGCCGGUGGAGGUGAAGCAUUUACUGCGUAAGCCCCUGCCGGUCGAAGAUACCAGGCCGCUGCGACUGUUUAUUAAAAACACAGCACUCUGCAAACACGAAAGUGGACGUAUAGGGUGUGACGCCUGCCCGGUGCCGGAAGGUUAAUUGAUGGGGUUAGCGCAAGCGAAGCUCUUGAUCGAAGCCCCGGUAAACGGCGGCCGUAACUAUAACGGUCCUAAGGUAGCGAAAUUCCUUGUCGGGUAAGUUCCGACCUGCACGAAUGGCGUAACGAUGGCGGCGCUGUCUCCACCCGAGACUCAGUGAAAUUGAAAUCGCUGUGAAGAUGCAGUGUAUCCGCGGCUAGACGGAAAGACCCCGUGAACCUUUACUAUAGCUUUGCACUGGACUUUGAAUUUGCUUGUGUAGGAUAGGUGGGAGGCUUUGAAGCGUGGACGCCAGUCUGCGUGGAGCCAACCUUGAAAUACCACCCUGGCAACUUUGAGGUUCUAACUCAGGUCCGUUAUCCGGAUCGAGGACAGUGUAUGGUGGGUAGUUUGACUGGGGCGGUCUCCUCCUAAAGAGUAACGGAGGAGUACGAAGGUGCGCUCAGACCGGUCGGAAAUCGGUCGUAGAGUAUAAAGGCAAAAGCGCGCUUGACUGCGAGACAGACACGUCGAGCAGGUACGAAAGUAGGUCUUAGUGAUCCGGUGGUUCUGUAUGGAAGGGCCAUCGCUCAACGGAUAAAAGGUACUCCGGGGAUAACAGGCUGAUACCGCCCAAGAGUUCAUAUCGACGGCGGUGUUUGGCACCUCGAUGUCGGCUCAUCACAUCCUGGGGCUGAAGCCGGUCCCAAGGGUAUGGCUGUUCGCCAUUUAAAGUGGUACGCGAGCUGGGUUUAGAACGUCGUGAGACAGUUCGGUCCCUAUCUGCCGUGGACGUUUGAGAUUUGAGAGGGGCUGCUCCUAGUACGAGAGGACCGGAGUGGACGAACCUCUGGUGUUCCGGUUGUCACGCCAGUGGCAUUGCCGGGUAGCUAUGUUCGGAAAAGAUAACCGCUGAAAGCAUCUAAGCGGGAAACUUGCCUCAAGAUGAGAUCUCACUGGAACCUUGA